UAAGAUGUACAUUAACACUUUUAUUGCAAUAGCUCUAUUGAAAGCAAAAAAGUUGGAUAAAUAUAAACACUAUGCUCCAAAUUCCUCCACUAGGACUUCACUCAAUCUCCCCUGAAGUGAGAGAGAAAAAAAAGGAGGCGCAAUUAACAUGAAAAAAAUACUAUCAUAUUUAAAUAAUUUCUCUUUUUUGUUUUAACACCUUUUUCCCCCCUUAAGGACAUACGUUGCAGAGAAAUAUAAUGCACAUAUGAGGAUUAACACCUCCACCGUAUGAAGAACUGUCUGUUCCAUAAAAGCUAAAUGACAAUGCCAUUAAAUUCUGAAAGAAAACACAGGUAGCAAUGAAAAUGACAUCGUCAUGGUUGCCAUCAGAUCAACAGCAUUCAAACUGGUUAUUUUGUAAUACUACACAGCAGCAAAUAAAAUAGUAAGUUACAAAAACAUCAGGCAGAGGUAAUUUUUUAUUUUUCUGUUUUUUUUUUACAAAACUGCUAAGUGUCUACAUCGUCAUACUCUUGAAAACAAGUUUAUCCCACUGUCUCCGUUUAGCUUAAAAAUGAUUUUAAACCCCGUCUUUAAGUGUUCAAUCAAAAGUAUCAACACAACACCCAAAAAACUAUGGAGAUUUAACUUCUGCUCUUUCUAUGAAGUAGAUAAACAAAAAUAAAAAUACUGUUGCACAUUUAUGCAGUACCGUGUAGUUCCUCUGUAAUAUAUUAUGUAGUUCUUAGAAUUUCCCCCAUUAUUUCCUAAAAAGGGUUUGUAAUUGUUUACUCAACUCUACAGCUGUUCCAACAUCCACACUAGCAUACUACUUAGUAUGCACACUAGUAGCACACUACUGAGAAUGCAUGUCCAAUACAUCGAGAGUAAGAAGUGUGGGACCGGACCAUAUUGGCCUAGAAUAUAUCAACAGAACAAAGUAGAAUCAUCAUCCACCAAAUAGUACAGAACUGAACAAGGCUGAUAUGAGUAUUGAUAAUCAAGCCUAUUUUUUAUUUAUUUAAUUAAGUAAGACUUCUUAAAUCACAGAAAGUCUUGCCAAAUAAAGCUUUUGUAUUGUUCAAAUCUAAUAGCUGAAAAGCGCUGCAGCGUAACCCAAAAAAAUAAAUAAAUCAUAGUACAGCCUUUAAAACGUGUUCCAACCACAGAAUUAGAAUGAGGAUUCUAGUUCGAUGGUUUCAGCCUUGGGUAGGUAUAGUAACGGUUCAUUUUCCAUAACUUACAGUAACAGCAGGCUCUGUGCACCGCAACAGUACCAUAUAAGACAUUGGUUGUACCAAAUGGGAUCUGACGGGUUGUUGAAAGUUCUUUUUUUCUUUUCUUGCUCGGGUGGGUGUCAACCUUUUCCACAGUCCAUUAUUCUGCACCAACAAAUAUAUCAUAAUCAUCUUCAUACAUUAGUUAACACACGACGAGACGUACCAUGAUAC
This is a long non-coding RNA of Oncorhynchus tshawytscha (Chinook salmon), 1433 nucleotides long. The record is from Ensembl. NCBI's taxonomy places the organism in Eukaryota, Metazoa, Chordata, Actinopteri, Salmoniformes, Salmonidae.